This 797-nucleotide ribosomal RNA is filed under the name uncultured cyanobacterium. RNAcentral's name for it is "bacterial SSU rRNA". It matches the Rfam family "Bacterial small subunit ribosomal RNA", at positions 65 to 903 of the family's 1533-position model. The record is from RNAcentral. Lineage: Bacteria; Bacillati; Cyanobacteriota.
GACGAAAGCUUAGGCUUUAGUAGCGGACGGGUGAGUAAUACGUAAGAAUCUACCUUUAGGAAGGGGAUAACAAUUGGAAACGAUUGCUAAUACCCUAUAUGCUUUAUUAGUGAAAAGAUUUAUCUGCCUAGAGAUGAGCUUACGCCUGAUUAGCUAGUUGGUAAGGUAAAAGCUUACCAAGGCUACGAUCAGUAGCUGGUUUGAGAGGAUGAUCAGCCACACUGGAACUGAGACACGGUCCAGACUUCUACGGAAGGCAGCAGUGGGGAAUUUUCCGCAAUGGGCGCAAGCCUGACGGAGCAAUACCGCGUGAGGGAUGAAUGCCUGUGGGUUGUAAACCUCUUUUCUUAGAGAAGAAAUAUUGACGGUAUCUAAGGAAUAAGCAUCGGCUAACUCCGUGCCAGCAGCCGCGGUAAUACGGGGGAUGCAAGCGUUAUCCGGAAUUACUGGGCGUAAAGAGUCUGUAGGUGGUUUAGUAAGUCUGCUGUUAAAUAUUGGGGCUCAACCCUAAAAGAGGAGUAGAAACUACUAUACUAGAGUAUGGUAUGGGUAAAGGGAAUUCCCAGUGUAGCGGUGAAAUGCGUAGAUAUUGGGAAGAACACCAGCAGCGAAAGCGCUUUACUAGGCCAUUACUGACACUCAGAGACGAAAGCUAGGGGAGCGAAUGGGAUUAGAUACCCCAGUAGUCCUAGCCGUAAACAAUGGAUACUAGAUGUUGCGUGUAUCGAUCCAUGCAGUAUCGUAGCUAACGCGUUAAGUAUCCCGCCUGGGAAGUAUGCUCGCAAGAGUGAAACUCA